This 353-nucleotide ribosomal RNA is filed under the name Nocardioides sp. RNAcentral describes it as "bacterial SSU rRNA". It matches the Rfam family "Bacterial small subunit ribosomal RNA", at positions 157 to 534 of the family's 1533-position model. The record is from RNAcentral. Lineage: Bacteria; Bacillati; Actinomycetota; Actinomycetes; Propionibacteriales; Nocardioidaceae.
CGGUGUCUAAUACCCGAUACCUGCAUGGGGAAAGUUUUUUCGGUGGGGGAUGUGCUCGCGGCCUAUCAGCUUGUUGGUGGGGUAAUGGCCUACCAAGGCUUCGACGGGUAGCCGGCCUGAGAGGGUGACCGGCCACACUGGGACUGAGACACGGCCCAGACUCCUACGGGAGGCAGCAGUGGGGAAUAUUGGACAAUGGGCGGAAGCCUGAUCCAGCACGCCGCGUGAGGGAUGACGGCCUUCGGGUUGUAAACCUCUUUCAGUACCGACGAACGCCGAUGAUGGUGGUGACGGUAGGUACAGAAGAAGCACCGGCCAACUACGUGCCAGCAGCCGCGGUAAUACGUAGGGUG